Molecule: long non-coding RNA, 1295 nt
Filed under: Sparus aurata (gilthead seabream)
Lineage: Eukaryota; Metazoa; Chordata; Actinopteri; Spariformes; Sparidae
Description: lncRNA (ENSSAUG00010016395.1)
Source: RNAcentral
UUAGAAGUAUUUUCUGGUCAAAUUUGUGCUUUUCACUUUUCAGAGCGAAAGACGCUGUUUUUUGCACUGAUGAGAGACAAAGCUGCAUUUCAUUCAAAAAUGGUUUCUCAAGUGAAAUUGUACUCAAAUUGUGUGAAUUCUACCUAAUUAUAGUAUUGAAACAUGGUUUCAGCUGUUAUAUCAUUAGUUUUAGUUAGAAGUAUUUUCUGGUCAAAUUUGUGCUUUUCAGAGCGCUAGAAGCACUAUUUUGCCAGUUAAGGUCUACUAAGCUGUAUUUCAGUCAAAAAUGGUUUCUCAAGUGAAAUUGUACUCAAAUUGUGUGAAUUCUACCUAAUUAUAGUAUUGAAACAUGGUUUCAGCUGUUAUAUCAUUAGUUUUAGUUAGAAGUAUUUUCUGGUCAAAUUUGUGCUUUUCAGAGCGCUAGAAGCACUAUUUUGCCAGUUAAGGUCUACUAAGCUGUAUUUCAGUCAAAAAUGGUUUCUCAAGUGAAAUUGUACUCAAAUUGUGUGAAUUCUACCUAAUUAUAGUAUUGAAACAUGGUUUCAGCUGUUAUAUCAUUAGUUUUAGUUAGAAGUAUUUUCUGGUCAAAUUUGUGCUUUUCAGAGCGCUAGAAGCACUAUUUUGCCAGUUAAGGUCUACUAAGCUGUAUUUCAGUCAAAAAUGGUUUCUCAAGUGAAAUUGUACUCAAAUUGUGUGAAUUCUACCUAAUUAUAGUAUUGAAACAUGGUUUCAGCUGUUAUAUCAUUAGUUUUAGUUAGAAGUAUUUUCUGGUCAAAUUUGUGCUUUUCAGAGCGAAAGACGCUGUUUUUUGCCAGUUAAGGUCUACUAAGCUGUAUUUCAGUCAAAAAUGGUUUCUCAAGUGAAAUUGUACUCAAAUUGUGUGAAUUCUACCUAAUUAUAGUAUUGAAACAUGGUUUCAGCUGUUAUAUCAUUAGUUUUAGUUAGAAGUAUUUUCUGGUCAAAUUUGUGCUUUUCAGAGCGCUAGAAGCACUAUUUUUGCCAGUUAAGGUCUACUAAGCUGUAUUUCAGUCAAAAAUGGUUUCUCAAGUGAAAUUGUACUCAAAUUGUGUGAAUUCUACCUAAUUAUAGUAUUGAAACAUGGUUUCAGCUGUUAUAUCAUUAGUUUUAGUUAGAAGUAUUUUCUGGUCAAAUUUGUGCUUUUCAGAGCGCUAGAAGCACUAUUUUGCCAGUUAAGGUCUACUAAGCUGUAUUUCAGUCAAAAUGGUUUCUCAAGUGAAAUUGUACUCAAAUUGUGUGAAUUCUACCUAAUUAUAGUAUUGAAACAUGGUUUCAGC